This 449-nucleotide ribosomal RNA is filed under the name uncultured bacterium. Its description in RNAcentral is "partial 16S ribosomal RNA". It matches the Rfam family "Bacterial small subunit ribosomal RNA", at positions 29 to 523 of the family's 1533-position model. The record is from RNAcentral.
AACGAACGCUGGCGGCAGGCUUAACACAUGCAAGUCGAACGAGAUCUCCGGAUCUAGUGGCAGACGGGUGAGGAACACGUGGGAACAUCCCUUUCAGUUCGGAAUAACGUUGGGAAACUAACGCUAAUACCGGAUACGUCCUUCAGGAGAAAGAUUUAUCGCUGAAAGAUUGGCCCGCGUCUGAUUAGCUAGUUGGUGAGGUAACGGCUCACAAAGGCUACGAUCAGUAGCUGAUCUGAGAGGAUGAUCAGCCACAUUGGGACUGAGACACGGCCCAAACUCCUACGGGAGGCAGCAGUGGGGAAUAUUGGACAAUGGGCGCAAGCCUGAUCCAGCCAUGCCGCGUGAGUGAUGAAGGCCUUCGGGUUGUAAAGCUCUUUUGUCCGGGAAGAUAAUGACUGUACCGGAAGAAUAAGCCCCGGCAAACUUCGUGCCAGCAGCCGCCGUAA